AUUGAACGCUGGCGGCAGGCCUAACACAUGCAAGUCGAACGGUAACAGGAAGAAGCUUGCUUCUUUGCUGACGAGUGGCGGACGGGUGAGUAAUGUCUGGGAAACUGCCUGAUGGAGGGGGAUAACUACUGGAAACGGUAGCUAAUACCGCAUAACGUCGCAAGACCAAAGAGGGGGACCUUCGGGCCUCUUGCCAUCGGAUGUGCCCAGAUGUGAUUAGCUAGUAGGGGGGGUAACGGCUCACCUAGGCGACGAUCCCUAGCUGGUCUGAGAGGAUGACCAGCCACACUGGAACUGAGACACGGUCCAGACUCCUACGGGAGGCAGCAGUGGGGAAUAUUGCACAAUGGGCGCAAGCCUGAUGCAGCCAUGCCGCGUGUAUGAAGAAGGCCUUCGGGUUGUAAAGUACUUUCAGCGGGGAGGAAGGGAGUAAAGUUAAUACCUUUGCUCAUUGACGUUACCCGCAGAAGAAGCACCGGCUAACUCCGUG
RNAcentral lists this ribosomal RNA (490 nucleotides) under uncultured bacterium. RNAcentral's name for it is "partial 16S ribosomal RNA". It matches the Rfam family "Bacterial small subunit ribosomal RNA", at positions 30 to 507 of the family's 1533-position model. The record is from RNAcentral.